CCUACGGGAGGCAGCAGUGAGGAAUAUUGGGCAAUGGGCGCAAGCCUGACCCAGCAACGCCGCGUGAAGGAAGAAGGCUUUCGGGUUUUAAACUUCUUUUCUCAGGGACGAAGAAAGUGACGGUACCUGAGGAAUAAGCCACGGCUAACUACGUGCCAGCAGCCGCGGUAAUACGGAGGUGGCAAGCGUUAUCCGGAUUUAUUGGGUGUAAAGGGCGUGUAGGCGGGAUUGCAAGUCAGAUGUGAAAUCUCAGGGCUCAACCCUGAGCCUGCAUUUGAAACUGUGUUUCUUGAGUGCUGGAGAGGCAAGCGGAAUGCCGGGUGUAGCGGUGAAAUGCGUAGAUAUACGGAGGAACACCAGUGGCGAAGGCGGAUUGCUGGACAGUAACUGACGCUGAGGCGCGAAAGCGUGGGGAGCAAACAGGAUUAGAUACCCCGGUAGUC
This 443-nucleotide ribosomal RNA is filed under the name uncultured bacterium. RNAcentral describes it as "partial 16S ribosomal RNA". It matches the Rfam family "Bacterial small subunit ribosomal RNA", at positions 338 to 795 of the family's 1533-position model. The record is from RNAcentral.